GGGCGCGGAGGAGUCCGGCGGGCGUGGGGACCGAGCUCCGGGCCUUGCGCCCCUAACCUGGCUGCCUGGAGAGGGACCCCCGCCCAGGCCCCGCCCCAGCCUCAGUUUCUCCCUGUGAGGUCGGGCGAGGACGAUGGCGUCUGGGCUCAGCCCUGGCGUCGGGUCCCUGCCUCCCCUCGCUCGCCAUCCCCACCCCUUGGCCGGCUCGGAGGUGCGGUGCUGCCCCGUGGGGAACCUCCGCCCUCGACUCCCGCAGUCUCCUCCGCCAGGAGUCCCCCUCUUCCCCUCGGCCUCCUGCCAUCUUCCCCGGCCUCCGGUCACCAUUCUGCGCCUGUGCCCCACCCCCUCCAGCCUGAACUCAUUUCCCGACCUACAUAUGCGGCCCCUUCCCCCAGUACUAGGGCCCGGGCAGCCUGUGACCGGGAGCGCUGAGGACAGCAGCCCCCGCCAGGAGCCUGCCCGGCUUUGGGCCUCAGUUUCCCGCUGUCGUGUGUGGGCGGAAGCCGGGGAGGGGCAGGAGUGGCUGCCGCCUGUGCGCUGCUUUCGCUCCGGGAGAGGCCUCGCGCGUGCGGUGCCGACCUGGGGCCGCCGAGCACCCGGCGCCAGCCCCGACCCCCUGCGAUUCCCGGGCCUCCCCGCCCGGCUGCGUCGCGCAAUGUCCAGGGGCUCCUUUCCCUAGUGCCGCGCCCCGCCUCAGUUUCCCCCGAGCAUAAGGUGGCCGGGGAUGCUCCGGGCGCCCGGGCUGGGCACGGCGGGGUGGCGGCCGCGGCCAUCUUGCGGCUCCGCGCUGGCCCCCCCUCCCAAGGCUGCCGCCCCCGCGCCCCCUCCCCGCCGCUCCCUGGCAACCCGCCCCCCCAGCCGCGGCCUGCUCCGCGGUCGCCAUGGGAACCAGCUUCUCGGGGCCGGGAACAGAUCCGCCUCCUUUGUCCCUUGCACUCCCACCAGCGCUCAGCACCGGGGGACCUCCACCUCCCAGAGUCGUGGGAGUCGUGACCCGGGGACACGCACCCAGCCCCUGCGCCCUCCCCCGCGCGCGGGCAGCGGGAGGUCUCCCUCUACCCAACCAUGGCGGGGUGGGCCCUACCAGGGUGUAGCUGAACUUGUUGGGGCAGGGGUAGUGAUGGGGCGGAGAGGGCGUCUGGAUCCCUCUGGAGCUGGCCGCUUCGCCUCGUUGUCCCCAUUCCUCCGAGUGCUUGCCCUUCCCGUCGCGGAGCUCCAGGGACUGGCGUUAUCUUGCAGGACAGGCCGCACCGGCUGUGUGCGGUUGUGAUGGGCACAGGCGCACCCUCAGAGGGCCAGGCCUCCUCCCCUGCCAUGGGGAUGUAAGAUGGAGGUCCAGAGAGAGCCCCCCCGGGCCCUCUCGCCAGAGCCAAGCCGGGUGGAGGCUAUCUCUGGCUCUGUCACCUCUCCAUGAGUCACUGGCCCCUGUGUGGGCUCCUGGUCCCGCAGGGAAGACCUGGCUUGUCUGCAGUGGCUCCUGGAGGAGAAGCAGGCCUAGCUGGAGCUGACCAGGCCUCCUCCCUACAGGGCCCUCCUCCCCAGUUCAGAAUGCAGCCCACAGCCACCAUGGCCACAACUGCUGCCGCCGCCACCACCACCACCACCACCACCACCACCACUGCCACAGUAGCCCUGACGACGUCGUGGGACAACGCCACUGGACGCCCCACGGCAGAGCCAGACCCCAUCCUGGACAACUACGUGCUGCUGGUGGUGGUGAUGUCGCUGUUCGUGGGGGGCACGCUGGUGGUGUUGUCCGGCGUCCUGCUCCUCUGCAAGCGCUGCUGGGACGUCCACCAGCGCCUCAACAGGGCCAUGGAGGAAGUGGAGAAGACCACCACCACCUAUCUGGACAACGGCACCCACCCGGCCCAAGACCCCGACUUCCGGGGGGAGGACCCCGAGAGCCAGGAUGCGGAGACUGAGCGCUUCCUGUCCACCAGCUCCACUGGCCGCCGGGUUUCCUUCAACGAGGCGGCGCUGUUCGAGCAGAGCCGCAAGACGCAGGACAAGGGCCGCCGGUACACACUGACGGAAGGGGACUUCCACCACCUGAAGAAUGCCCGGCUCACACACCUGCACCUGCCGCCCCUCAAGAUUGUCACCAUCCAUGAGUGUGACUCGGGCGAGGCCAGCUCGGCCGCCACGCCCCACCCAGCCACCUCUCCCAAGACCACCUUGGCCAUCUUCCAGCCCCCGGGGAAGGCCCUCACGGGCCGCUCCGUGGGCCCCAGCUCCGCCCUGCCAGGUGAUCCCUACAACUCUGCCGCGGGCGCCACUGACUUUGCGGAGAUCAGCCCCUCGGCAUCUAGCGACUCUGGGGAAGGCAUCUCGUUGGAUGCCAGUACCAGGAGCACCAAGGCUGGAGGGCCCGGGGCUGCAGCAGGACCUGGGGAGGUGGGCCCGGGAUCCGGGACGGGUACCGUUCUGCAGUUCCUCACCCGCCUGCGCCGCCAUGCCAGCCUGGACGGGGCCAGCCCCUACUUCAAGGUCAAGAAGUGGAAGCUGGAGCCCAGCCAGCGGGCAGCCAGUCUGGACACGAGAGGUUCCCCCAAGCGGCACCACUUCCAGCGGCAGCGGGCAGCCAGUGAGAGCACGGAGCAGGAGGAGGGGGGCGCCCCCCACGAGGACUUCAUCCAGUACAUCGCCAGGGCUGGUGACGCCGUGGCCUUCCCACGCCCCCGUCCCUUUCUGGCCAGCCCGCCCCCUGCUCUCGGCAGGUAUUUUUCAGUAGAUGGAGGUGCUAGGGGUGGACCUGUGGGCCCUUGCCCCGCUUCGCCCCCCCACUAGGCGGCCCAGGGAGCGCUCUCCAGGCCCCGUGGACACGCGCUCACCCGCCUCCAGCAGCAAGGCCCCUCCGAGAGGCUGACUCACUGGGGCCACCUCUCCAGCAUGGACCAGAGGAGGGAAGCAGGGAGAAACUGGGCUAGAGGCGGCCGAGGCAGCGGGAGAAGCGAGCCCCGAUUCUCCCCCGGAGCGUGGCGCGGGCGGCGCGGGGCCUGAGCAGCAGCAGCCGCCACUGGAGCCGGACGCCGAGCGGGACGCGGGCCCCGAGCAGGCCCAG
Chlorocebus sabaeus (green monkey) is the source of this 3064-nucleotide non-coding RNA. NCBI's taxonomy places the organism in Eukaryota, Metazoa, Chordata, Mammalia, Primates, Cercopithecidae. The record is from RefSeq and is a predicted model, not a curated record.